GACGAACGCUGGCGGCGUGCCUAAUACAUGCAAGUAGAACGCUGAAGGAGGAGCUUGCUUCUCUGGAUGAGUUGCGAACGGGUGAGUAACGCGUAGGUAACCUGCCUGGUAGUGGGGGAUAACUAUUGGAAACGAUAGCUAAUACCGCAUAAUAGCAGUUGUUGCAUGAUAACUGUUUGAAAGGUGCAAUUGCACCGCUACCAGAUGGACCUGCGUUGUAUUAGCUAGUUGGUGGGGUAACGGCUCACCAAGGCGACGAUACAUAGCCGACCUGAGAGGGUGAUCGGCCACACUGGGACUGAGACACGGCCCAGACUCCUACGGGAGGCAGCAGUAGGGAAUCUUCGGCAAUGGACGGAAGUCUGACCGAGCAACGCCGCGUGAGUGAAGAAGGUUUUCGGAUCGUAAAGCUCUGUUGUAAGAGAAGAACGAGGGUGAGAGUGGAAAGUUCACACUGUGACGGUAUCUUACCAGAAAGGGACGGCUAACUACGUG
Molecule: ribosomal RNA, 495 nt
Filed under: uncultured bacterium
Lineage: Bacteria
Description: partial 16S ribosomal RNA
Rfam family: Bacterial small subunit ribosomal RNA
Source: RNAcentral